UAAAGGCAUGGUCCUGACCUUAUUAUUAGCUCUAGCCCAACUUACACAUGCAAGUCUCCGCAAUCCCGUGAGUAUGCCCUUAAUCCCCUGCCCGGGGACGAGGAGCGGGCAUCAGGCACAAAUUUUUUAGCCCAAGACGCCUGGCCGAGCCACACCCCCAAGGGAAUUCAGCAGUGAUAAAUAUUAAGCCAUAAGUGAAAACUUGACUCAGUCAGGGUUAAGAGGGCCGGUAAAACUCGUGCCAGCCACCGCGGUUAAACGAGAGGCCCCAGUUAAUAAUACACGGCGUAAAGGGUGGUUAAGGGAAGCAUAACAAUAAAGCCAAAUGGCCCUUUGGCUGUCAUACGCUUCUAGGUGUCCGAGGCCCAAUAUACGAAAGUAGCUUUAAUAAAGCCCACCUGACCCCACGAAAGCUGAGAAACAAACUGGGAUUAGAUACCCCACUAUGCUCAGCCAUAAACCUAGACGUCCAGCUACAAUUAGACGUCCGCCCGGGUACUACGAGCAUUAGCUUGAAACCCAAAGGACCUGACGGUGCCUUAGACCCCCCUAGAGGAGCCUGUUCUAGAACCGAUAACCCCCGUUAAACCUCACCACUUCUAGCCACCCCAGCCUAUAUACCGCCGUCGUCAGCUUACCCUGUGAAGGCAAUAAAAGUAAGCAAAAUGGGCACAACCCAGAACGUCAGGUCGAGGUGUAGCGUACGAAGCGGGAAGAAAUGGGCUACAUUUUCUAAAAUAGAACACUACGGACAUGCAACAUGAAAUAGUGCUUAAAGGAGGAUUUAGUAGUAAAAAGGAAGCAGAGUGUCCUUUUGAACCCGGCUCUGAGGCGCGUACACACCGCCCGUCACUCUCCCCUGUCAAAAAUGCAAUAAAAAUAACUAAAGUCAAAGCACUGACGAGGGGAGGCAAGUCGUAACAUGGUAAGUGUACCGGAAGGUGCACUUGGAUUAAAUU
RNAcentral lists this non-coding RNA (959 nucleotides) under Leuciscus merzbacheri (Zhungarian ide). Its description in RNAcentral is "12S ribosomal RNA". It matches the Rfam family "Bacterial small subunit ribosomal RNA". The record is from RNAcentral. Lineage: Eukaryota; Metazoa; Chordata; Actinopteri; Cypriniformes; Leuciscidae.